AAUUUUAUAGACCUAUUUAACCAUUAAAACACAUUUUAAUAUUAAUUAAAAUAUUAUAACGGUAAUUUUAGUCAAAAAUCCUCUGUUUCUCAAUUUUAUGCUAUUUAGAUGGUAAUUCUCUAAUAUUUUAGCACUAGACCAAAACGUAAAGAUAGGGAGUUGCUAAUAUCAACAAAAAUUAAUUUACAAUUUUAUAACAUUUUUCCAUAAAAAAAAUAUUUAUUAUGUUAAAAUUUUAUAUUCAAUUUAAAAUUUAUUCUACUGAAAAGGAUAUAAUAAAUUUUUUAAAAGAAAAAUAAUGUUCCUUUAGUAUCAGGAUUUAUUUAAUAUAAUAUAUAAAUAAUAAAAAUCCCGAAAUUAUGUGAUCUAUAUAAAAUAAUAUUAAUUAUUUCAAUAAUUUAAUAAAAAUUUAUAUAGAAAUUAAACGCUUUCGUACAUAAUUAUAUCUGGUUAUAAUAAAAAAAAAGAAUUUUAAAUAAAAUAUUAUAAUAUAAUUUAUAAUAUUUAUUCAAAAAAAAAAAAAAAAAAAAAAAAAAAAGAAUUACAGUAUCUAAAAAGUAUUAAAACCUCUUUUCCUUUUAUUGUUAUAUUAAUAUAUUAUUCUAUUUAUUUUAAUAAUAAUAAAAUAAGUAAAAAUUCCAAUUAAUUUUUAAAAACUCGUCUAUAUUUAAUGACUGUAUAUCAAAAACAUUGUUAUUAGAAAUUAUUAAUAAUACAUCUGCUCAAUGAAAAAUUAAAUAGCCGCAUUAGUGCUAAGGUAGCAUAAUCAUUUGUCUUUUAAUUUAAGACUAGAACAAAAGAAUUUACAUUUAAAUAAAUUUCUUAAAAUUAUUAAUUAAAAUUAUUUUUAAUGUAAAAAAACAUUAAUUAAUAAAAUAGACGAUAAGACCCUAUCGAACUUUACUUUAGUUUAACUGGGGUAGUUAAUUAAUUAUUAUUUUAAAUAAAACUAUAUUUUAAAUGACCUAAUUUAAUUAAAUUAAUGAUCAAGUUACCGUAGGGAUAACAGUGUAAUAUUAUUUUAAAGAUCUUAUUUAAAAUAAAGAUUGCAACCUCGAUGUUGACUUAAUAUCCUUUUUUACGCAAUAGUAAAAUUAGGAAGUCUGUUCGACUUUUUAAAAAUUACAUGAUUUGAGUUCAGACCGGGGUAAACCCGGUCGGUUUUUUUUUUUUUUUUUUUUAUUAUAGUACGAAAGGACCUAAAAAAAUUAAUUAAUUAAUUU
Molecule: ribosomal RNA, 1223 nt
Filed under: Oxytate striatipes
Lineage: Eukaryota; Metazoa; Arthropoda; Arachnida; Araneae; Thomisidae
Description: 16S ribosomal RNA
Source: RNAcentral